Molecule: long non-coding RNA, 922 nt
Organism: Triticum aestivum (bread wheat)
Lineage: Eukaryota; Viridiplantae; Streptophyta; Magnoliopsida; Poales; Poaceae
Exons: 2
Source: RefSeq, a predicted model, not a curated record
GCUCGAGGAGGUGUUCUAAGCCCACGCCCCUUUUCCCCUCCCCUGCUUCUCCGCUGCCGCCUCUUUCUCCGCCAAAUCCACAUCACCGCCGUGCCCGUUGCCGGGACAAGGACAGGGGUGGAGGCAAGGGAGAGAGGGGGGUUGACUCAGCAGCGCCGCCUAGCAGUGUAUGGGGGGUCUAGAUGAGGGGAGUGCGGCACGGUAAACUCCUCCCCCGCUACAGAGCAGUCCACGAUGCGGUCACUGUCGUCCUCACCUUCUAGCCGUCUGUGAUGUUGUCGCCAUCGCCCAAGCCCCCUCGCCACACAGUACACAUAGAUGGGAAAGGCGGUAGGAUGCAGCAGCUCGCCUAUUCCUUGCUCGCCGCCGAUUCCAAGUGAGAAGACAAAUGUGCACACCUUUAGCUCGACUUGUGGCGGCGGCGAAUAUUACUAGAGCAGAGGCACCUUUCGUUUUUCGUCCUCUUCGUUGGUGGGAAGGCGAAGCGGAUUGGAGGAGGAAGCCAUGUGAACUUGGUGAGAGAGGAGAUGGGGUAGGGCGGCAAGCUGUGUGGGACGACUCGGCACUGGUGGACGCCUUGGAUCACACCGUCGCCACCUAAAAGAUAUGCGCCCUCGCCCCCCUUUGAUUCUCUUGCCCUUUCCGCCUUGCUGGGAGAAGAUGUAUGUGUGUUCUGUUUUAGACAAUGGCGUUCAUGUAAGCGCGUUCACGUCAUGUUCCGUUCUGCAAUGCACAAGUACUAUGUUCUCUUUUAUUUCUGGAAUCGUGUCUAUUCGCACAAGUACUAUGCACACAGUAGCUUUGAAUCUGUUAGUGAAGUUAUUGUAUGGUAACGGCGUACUUUUAUGGGUAGAUUAAUAGAAUGGAUCUGUAUGUGCUAUAGAUAGCUAAUCCUUUGCAACAAUUUGAUAAGAUGCUGAAA